GUCUGGGCCUGGGCCGAGGCGAGGCCGGCGAGCAGCAGGCUCGCGGCGAUCAGGGUACGGGUCAUGGGUUCGGAGUCCGGGCUCGCUCG
Molecule: transfer RNA, 89 nt
Filed under: Methylobacterium trifolii
Lineage: Bacteria; Pseudomonadati; Pseudomonadota; Alphaproteobacteria; Hyphomicrobiales; Methylobacteriaceae
Description: tRNA-Cys
Source: RNAcentral